GACGAACGCUGGCGGCGUGCUUAACACAUGCAAGUCGAACAGAAAGGCCCUGCUUUUGUGGGGUGCUCGAGUGGCGAACGUGUGAGUAACACGUGAGUAACCUGCCCUUGACUUUGGGAUAACUUCAGGAAACUGGGGCUAAUACCGGAUAGGAGCUCCUGCUGCAUGGUGGGGGUUGGAAAGUUUCGGCGGUUGGGGAUGGACUCGCGGCUUAUCAGCUUGUUGGUGGGGUAGUGGCUUACCAAGGCUUUGACGGGUAGCCGGCCUGAGAGGGUGACCGGCCACAUUGGGACUGAGAUACGGCCCAGACUCCUACGGGAGGCAGCAGUGGGGAAUAUUGCACAAUGGGCGGAAGCCUGAUGCAGCAACGCCGCGUGCGGGAUGACGGCCUUCGGGUUGUAAACCGCUUUCGCCUGUGACGAAGCGUGAGUGACGGUAAUGGGUAAAGAAGCACCGGCUAACUACGUG
Molecule: ribosomal RNA, 468 nt
Filed under: uncultured bacterium
Lineage: Bacteria
Description: partial 16S ribosomal RNA
Rfam family: Bacterial small subunit ribosomal RNA
Source: RNAcentral